AGGGGUUUAGCUCAGUUGGUAGAGCGACGGUCUCCAAAACCGUAGGUCGUGGGUUCGAGCCCCCCAACCCCUGCCA
Molecule: transfer RNA, 76 nt
Filed under: Rhodobacter sp.
Lineage: Bacteria; Pseudomonadati; Pseudomonadota; Alphaproteobacteria; Rhodobacterales
Also listed under: 3 other names
Description: tRNA-Trp
Rfam family: tRNA
About the family: Transfer RNA (tRNA) molecules are approximately 80 nucleotides in length. Their secondary structure includes four short double-helical elements and three loops (D, anti-codon, and T loops). Further hydrogen bonds mediate the characteristic L-shaped molecular structure. tRNAs have two regions of fundamental functional importance: the anti-codon, which is responsible for specific mRNA codon recognition, and the 3' end, to which the tRNAs corresponding amino acid is attached (by aminoacyl-tRNA synthetases). tRNAs cope with the degeneracy of the genetic code in two manners: having more than one tRNA (with a specific anti-codon) for a particular amino acid; and 'wobble' base-pairing, i.e. permitting non-standard base-pairing at the 3rd anti-codon position.
Source: RNAcentral